This 464-nucleotide ribosomal RNA is filed under the name Vreelandella stevensii. Its description in RNAcentral is "partial 16S ribosomal RNA". It matches the Rfam family "Bacterial small subunit ribosomal RNA", at positions 339 to 795 of the family's 1533-position model. The record is from RNAcentral. Lineage: Bacteria; Pseudomonadati; Pseudomonadota; Gammaproteobacteria; Oceanospirillales; Halomonadaceae.
CCUCGGGUGGCAGCAGUGGGGAAAAUUGGACAAUGGGCGAAAGCCUGAUCCAGCCAUGCCGCGUGUGUGAAGAAGGCCUUCGGGUUGUAAAGCACUUUCAGUGGGGAAGAAAGCCUUGGGGCUAAUACCCUCGAGGAAGGACAUCACCCACAGAAGAAGCACCGGCUAACUCCGUGCCAGCAGCCGCGGUAAUACGGAGGGUGCGAGCGUUAAUCGGAAUUACUGGGCGUAAAGCGCGCGUAGGCGGUCUGAUAAGCCGGUUGUGAAAGCCCCGGGCUCAACCUGGGAACGGCAUCCGGAACUGUCAGGCUAGAGUGCAGGAGAGGAAGGUAGAAUUCCCGGUGUAGCGGUGAAAUGCGUAGAGAUCGGGAGGAAUACCAGUGGCGAAGGCGGCCUUCUGGACUGACACUGACGCUGAGGUGCGAAAGCGUGGGUAGCAAACAGGAUUAGAUACCCUGGUAGUC